Molecule: ribosomal RNA, 1699 nt
Filed under: Salmonella enterica subsp. enterica serovar Heidelberg
Lineage: Bacteria; Pseudomonadati; Pseudomonadota; Gammaproteobacteria; Enterobacterales; Enterobacteriaceae
Also listed under: 1 other name
Description: bacterial LSU rRNA
Rfam family: Bacterial large subunit ribosomal RNA
Source: RNAcentral
CCUGUGAGGGUUGCUGGAGGUAUCAGAAGUGCGAAUGCUGACAUAAGUAACGAUAAAGCGGGUGAAAAGCCCGCUCGCCGGAAGACCAAGGGUUCCUGUCCAACGUUAAUCGGGGCAGGGUGAGUCGACCCCUAAGGCGAGGCCGAAAGGCGUAGUCGAUGGGAAACGGGUUAAUAUUCCCGUACUUGGUGUUACUGCGAAGGGGGGACGGAGAAGGCUAUGUUGGCCGGGCGACGGUUGUCCCGGUUUAAGCGUGUAGGUGUGUGUUCCAGGUAAAUCCGGUUCACUUUAACACUGAGGCGUGACGACGAGGCACUACGGUGCUGAAGCAACAAAUGCCCUGCUUCCAGGAAAAGCCUCUAAGCAUCAGGUAACACGAAAUCGUACCCCAAACCGACACAGGUGGUCAGGUAGAGAAUACCAAGGCGCUUGAGAGAACUCGGGUGAAGGAACUAGGCAAAAUGGUGCCGUAACUUCGGGAGAAGGCACGCUGACACGUAGGUGAAGUGAUUUACUCAUGGAGCUGAAGUCAGUCGAAGAUACCAGCUGGCUGCAACUGUUUAUUAAAAACACAGCACUGUGCAAACACGAAAGUGGACGUAUACGGUGUGACGCCUGCCCGGUGCCGGAAGGUUAAUUGAUGGGGUCAGCGUAAGCGAAGCUCCUGAUCGAAGCCCCGGUAAACGGCGGCCGUAACUAUAACGGUCCUAAGGUAGCGAAAUUCCUUGUCGGGUAAGUUCCGACCUGCACGAAUGGCGUAAUGAUGGCCAGGCUGUCUCCACCCGAGACUCAGUGAAAUUGAACUCGCUGUGAAGAUGCAGUGUACCCGCGGCAAGACGGAAAGACCCCGUGAACCUUUACUAUAGCUUGACACUGAACAUUGAGCCUUGAUGUGUAGGAUAGGUGGGAGGCUUUGAAGUGUGGACGCCAGUCUGCAUGGAGCCGACCUUGAAAUACCACCCUUUAAUGUUUGAUGUUCUAACGUGGACCCGUAAUCCGGGUUGCGGACAGUGUCUGGUGGGUAGUUUGACUGGGGCGGUCUCCUCCUAAAGAGUAACGGAGGAGCACGAAGGUUGGCUAAUCCUGGUCGGACAUCAGGAGGUUAGUGCAAUGGCAUAAGCCAGCUUGACUGCGAGCGUGACGGCGCGAGCAGGUGCGAAAGCAGGUCAUAGUGAUCCGGUGGUUCUGAAUGGAAGGGCCAUCGCUCAACGGAUAAAAGGUACUCCGGGGAUAACAGGCUGAUACCGCCCAAGAGUUCAUAUCGACGGCGGUGUUUGGCACCUCGAUGUCGGCUCAUCACAUCCUGGGGCUGAAGUAGGUCCCAAGGGUAUGGCUGUUCGCCAUUUAAAGUGGUACGCGAGCUGGGUUUAGAACGUCGUGAGACAGUUCGGUCCCUAUCUGCCGUGGGCGCUGGAGAACUGAGGGGGGCUGCUCCUAGUACGAGAGGACCGGAGUGGACGCAUCACUGGUGUUCGGGUUGUCAUGCCAAUGGCACUGCCCGGUAGCUAAAUGCGGAAGAGAUAAGUGCUGAAAGCAUCUAAGCACGAAACUUGCCCCGAGAUGAGUUCUCCCUGAGACUUAGAGUCUCCUGAAGGAACGUUGAAGACGACGACGUUGAUAGGCCGGGUGUGUAAGCGCAGCGAUGCGUUGAGCUAACCGGUACUAAUGAACCGUGAGGCUUAACCUUACAACGCCGAAG